UGGGGAAUAUUGCACAAUGGGCGCAAGCCUGAUGCAGCCAUGCCGCGUGUAUGAAGAAGGCCUUCGGGUUGUAAAGUACUUUCAGCGGGGAGGAAGGGAGUAAAGUUAAUACCUUUGCUCAUUGACGUUACCCGCAGAAGAAGCACCGGUUAACUCCGUGCCAGCAGCCGCUUUAAUUCGGAGGGUGCAAGCGUUAAUCGGAAUUACUGGGCGUAAAGCGUACGCAGGCGGUUUGUUAAGUCAGAUGUGAAAUCCCCGGGCUCAACCGGGGAACUGCAUCUGAUACUGGCAAGCUUGAGUCUCGUAGAGGGGGGUAGAAUUCCAGGUGUAGCGGUGAAAUGCGUAGAGAUAUGGAGGAAUACCGGUGGAGAAGGCGGCCCCCUGGACAAAGACUGAAGCUCAGGUGCGAAAGCGGGGGGAGCAAACAGG
RNAcentral lists this ribosomal RNA (429 nucleotides) under Chloroflexota bacterium. RNAcentral's name for it is "Chloroflexi bacterium partial 16S ribosomal RNA". It matches the Rfam family "Bacterial small subunit ribosomal RNA", at positions 355 to 776 of the family's 1533-position model. Lineage: Bacteria; Bacillati; Chloroflexota. The record is from RNAcentral.